UCGCUUUGGCAGCAAAUAUACUAAAACUGGAACGAUUCAGAGAAGAUUAGCAUGGGAAACAAAAAUAACCCUAACUUUUUUUGAUUUUC
Molecule: non-coding RNA, 89 nt
Organism: Podarcis lilfordi (Lilford's wall lizard)
Lineage: Eukaryota; Metazoa; Chordata; Lepidosauria; Squamata; Lacertidae
Source: the annotation of a GenBank genome assembly